RNAcentral lists this ribosomal RNA (492 nucleotides) under uncultured bacterium. Its description in RNAcentral is "partial 16S ribosomal RNA". It matches the Rfam family "Bacterial small subunit ribosomal RNA", at positions 29 to 507 of the family's 1533-position model. The record is from RNAcentral.
AGUGAACGCUGGCGGUAGGCCUAACACAUGCAAGUCGAACGGCAGCACAGUAAGAGCUUGCUCUUACGGGUGGCGAGUGGCGGACGGGUGAGGAAUACAUCGGAAUCUACUUUUUCGUGGGGGAUAACGUAGGGAAACUUACGCUAAUACCGCAUACGACCUACGGGUGAAAGCAGGGGAUCUUCGGACCUUGCGCGAUUGAAUGAGCCGAUGUCGGAUUAGCUAGUUGGCGGGGUAAAGGCCCACCAAGGCGACGAUCCGUAGCUGGUCUGAGAGGAUGAUCAGCCACACUGGAACUGAGACACGGUCCAGACUCCUACAGGAGGCAGCAGUGGGGAAUAUUGGACAAUGGGCGCAAGCCUGACCCAGCCAUACCGCGUGGGUGAAGAAGGCCUUCGGGUUGUAAAGCCCUUUUGUUGGGAAAGAAAAGCAGCAGGUUAAUACCCCGCUGUUCUGACGGUACCCAAAGAAUAAGCACCGGCUAACUUCGUG